CGGACGGGUGAGUAACGCGUGGGUAACCUGCCUUAUACAGGGGGAUAACAGUCAGAAAUGGCUGCUAAUACCGCAUAAGCGCACAGGGUCGCAUGACCUAGUGUGAAAAACUCCGGUGGUAUAAGAUGGACCCGCGUUGGAUUAGCCAGUUGGCAGGGUAACGGCCUACCAAAGCGACGAUCCAUAGCCGGCCUGAGAGGGUGAACGGCCACAUUGGGACUGAGACACGGCCCAGACUCCUACGGGAGGCAGCAUG
RNAcentral lists this ribosomal RNA (256 nucleotides) under uncultured bacterium. RNAcentral's name for it is "partial 16S ribosomal RNA". It matches the Rfam family "Bacterial small subunit ribosomal RNA", at positions 99 to 353 of the family's 1533-position model. The record is from RNAcentral.